RNAcentral lists this ribosomal RNA (515 nucleotides) under Clostridium sp. AL08-3. Its description in RNAcentral is "bacterial SSU rRNA". It matches the Rfam family "Bacterial small subunit ribosomal RNA", at positions 83 to 619 of the family's 1533-position model. The record is from RNAcentral. Lineage: Bacteria; Bacillati; Bacillota; Clostridia; Eubacteriales; Clostridiaceae.
CCCCCUUUAUGAUCGUCUCGCCUUUGUGUUCCGCGUGGGUACCUGCCCUGUACCACGGAUAACAUACCGAAAGGUAUGCUAAUACGGGAUAACAUAUGAGAGUCGCAUGGCUUUUGUAUCAAAGCUCCGGCGGUACAGGAUGGACCCGCGUCUGAUUAGCUAGUUGGUAAGGUAACGGCUUACCAAGGCAACGAUCAGUAGCCGACCUGAGAGGGUGAUCGGCCACAUUGGAACUGAGACACGGUCCAAACUCCUACGGGAGGCAGCAGUGGGGAAUAUUGCACAAUGGGCGAAAGCCUGAUGCAGCAACGCCGCGUGAGCGAUGAAGGCCUUCGGGUCGUAAAGCUCUGUCCUCAAGGAAGAUAAUGACGGUACUUGAGGAGGAAGCCCCGGCUAACUACGUGCCUGUAGCCGCGGUAAUACGUAGGGGGCUAGCGUUAUCCGGAAUUACUGGGCGUAAAGGGUGCGUAGGCAGUCUUUCAAGCCAGAAGUGAAAGGCUACAGGUCAACCGCCA